Molecule: long non-coding RNA, 940 nt
Filed under: Marmota monax (woodchuck)
Lineage: Eukaryota; Metazoa; Chordata; Mammalia; Rodentia; Sciuridae
Source: RNAcentral
AGAAUGUCCUCAUUUAUUCAACAACUGUCGAUAUCCUUACUGGUUUGUGAAUUUGAACUUCUUUCCUUUUUAAACACUUUUACUUAUUUUUUUUUAAUCCACAGAUAAUAUCGUAUGCCUUAAUCCUGUACAGAUGACUAUAUGAAGUAUUGAACUUUUUUCCUUUGUAAGCUGAGUUGAGGCGCAUGGAAAAGGAUAAAAAGAAGACAAUGUGGAGAAGCAGCAGGCUUGCAGCCCAGCAAACAGAACUUGAAGCAAUUACAUUUCCAAGUAUGAUGUUAAUAACGCAAACUGUGUUUAAUAGUCAGAAACAGUGAAACAGCAGACGGGCUUUAAUUAAAGCUUCUCAUCACUCUUCUAAAUCGCCUUCUCUACACACGAGCAGCUGCUUCACGGCACCCGUGGAAAGAUAAUGUUUCCAUUCCAAACUUUCUUGCACGAAACGUAAAAUCUCACCCAACAGCGAUUCUAAAAUCGUAGGCUUUUCUACGUGAUUUACAACUGUUGGACGGUGUAUCAUCGUUUGCUUAUUUGGAAAGUUCUUGCAUUCUUUAUUUGUGUCUGCUUUCAUUAGGUAUGUUAUACCUAUAAAGUCUUAAAAAUAACAUUCAAUGUAAAGUACUUAAAAGAAAGAGAUGAAUAUUAGUUCAAAUAAAAAUAUUUUCACUUUAACAUGAAUGACUUUGAAAGGAGAAAAGGCACUAAGAGAUAAGUUCACAUUAGGGAGGUGAAGGGCUGCUUGUCACCAACUAGUAUGUUCAGGUGACACCGGUGGGAAGUAGCCACCUGCUUAAACAUCCUGGUCACCGAGAAUCUUUAGUGGAAUCUGCCAAUCAUUUAGGGAGGACACACCAGUUGCAUAGAUAAAUUUUCUAUACAGAUCUUGGAGGAUUUUGCCUAUCUGUGAAUUCUUGGGCUAUUCAUCUUUACUUGCCUGAAG